GACGAACGGCUGGCGGCGUGCUUAACACAUGCAAGUCGAACGGAGUGCCUAUGAUAGAGACUUCGGUCAAUGGAUUAGGUUACUUAGUGGCGGACUGGUGAGUAACGCGUGAGGAACCUGCCUUUCAGAGGGGGACAACAGUUGGAAACGACUGCUAAUACCGCAUGACACAUCGAUGGGGCAUCCCAUUGAUGUCAAAGAUUUAUCGCUGAAAGAUGGCCUCGCGUCUGAUUAGAUAGUUGGCGGGGUAACGGCCCACCAAGUCGACGAUCAGUAGCCGGACUGAGAGGUUGACCGGCCACAUUGGGACUGAGAUACGGCCCAGACUCCUACGGGAGGCAGCAGUGGGGAAUAUUGGGCAAUGGACGCAAGUCUGACCCAGCAACGCCGCGUGAAGGAAGAAGGCUUUCGGGUUGUAAACUUCUUUUGUCAGGGAAGAGCAGAAGACGGUACCUGACGAAUAAGCCACGGCUAACUACGUG
RNAcentral lists this ribosomal RNA (482 nucleotides) under uncultured bacterium. RNAcentral's name for it is "bacterial SSU rRNA". It matches the Rfam family "Bacterial small subunit ribosomal RNA", at positions 35 to 507 of the family's 1533-position model. The record is from RNAcentral.